Lathyrus oleraceus (garden pea) is the source of this 2551-nucleotide long non-coding RNA. RefSeq lists it as uncharacterized. Lineage: Eukaryota; Viridiplantae; Streptophyta; Magnoliopsida; Fabales; Fabaceae. The transcript has 2 exons. The record is from RefSeq and is a predicted model, not a curated record.
AUUCUGGAAAAUUAAGAAAACUAAACUUAAUCUAACAAUUGAUUAGGCCUAACUUCUAAAUGAUGAUCUAAUUGAUUCUAAUUAAGUCUAAUUAUCUAUUAACCUAUAGAAAGGUAUGAUAAUCCUAAUUAACAAAAAAAACAUGAAUUAAUCUAGUUCAUACCAACACCAUUAGCAUCAUGAUUAACAGAAAAAACUAGAAUUAAAGUGGAUAGAUUAAAUAAUGACUAAUCAUGAUUAGUGGGGAUUAACAUGAAUAAUCAUGGGUUAUAGGCCUGGUGUGUGAUAACUGGAGGGGGAUAAAGCAAUUUUCUUGGUCCCGAGCCCAAAUUCCAAUUGGCCUGAUCCGGAUCUUUGAAGAACAACCAAAACCAACGCUCCCAAACUCCUAUCAUCGGCAACGUGUCCAAAGCCUUCAUCGCCUCACGUGUUCUUCACCGAGAAACGGCUUCAAGAUUUCGCUUCAAGAUCUCGUGCAACCAUCAACGGAAACCAGCAAGAAUGAUUCAUCUCACCGUGGAAAAACCAAGAACGACGACAAAUUCGCGAGAGGUCUCGAUGUUUAAAUGAAAUGGGAUCGAAAUCGAGCGUGCAAUAGAGAAAAAAGAAGGAAGCAAAACCUACCAACUUCAAUCCUCUUCUUUGAUUAAGCGUUCGUUGUGAAAGAUGAAGACGAUACUCCGCGUUUGUGCCUUGUCGAUUCGUUAUGUCGCGAUUGACGGAGGUGCACGGAGCGUCACGAUGAAGAAUGAAGGCGGAGAUGUAACGUGCGUCGUUGAUAUGGCGAAAGAACAGAAUCGCAAAUGGAAUCGUGGUGUUUAUGACGAAGAAGACGACCGAUGAUCAAAUCCCGAAAGAAGGAGCCGUUAUACGAGUGGCGAGUGAGGGAGAUUAGAAGAGGUUGGAGAGGUUUUUUUCCGGAGGUUUCUUCUGUGGAAGAUUAGUAAAGGAAUCAGAAGUUGGAAGUGGAGAGUUUUUUUUGUUGGGUGGAGGUUUGGACCGGUGAAGAGAUCGGAGACGCUCCGAAGGUGUGAGGAAGUUGCUGGAUUCUGUUUUUGGAGGAGGGUCUAAGGUUGAGAAUUGGUGGCUUUUUGGAGGUUUGAAAAUUGCAGGAUUUGUUGAUUAUAGAAGUUGGUGGAUGAAAAAUGUGAAGUCCUGUUAUGGAUUUUUUUAGUUGAAUGGUUGUUGAUGAAUGGAAGAUGGAGAAGGUAGCAGGUUGAAGGAUUGAAGAGUGUUGUGGAAGGUGGAUGGUGGUUUUUGAAGAAUGGUGAUGGUUGAAGAAGAGAAGAGGGAUGGUAGAAGAAUUUGUGAAUUGUUGAAUGAUGGGAAAGAUGAUGGAGAGUGAAGUCGUUAGGAUGAGCUUUGGGUUGUGAUGGAGAUGGAAGAAGAAGCUCGCCCGAAUGAAGAAUCAGUUAUCAGUUAUAUGGAGGUUGUUGAAGUUGUAGAGGUUAUGGUUUAGUUAAGAAUUAGUUAGAUUUAAUGACAGUUGGAGAAAGUUGGCGACAAUUGGAAUUGAUUAGGCGGUUAGGACGGUUGAAGACAGUUAGAAAGUGAUUAUGUUAUGGAGUUAGAAAUUUGUUAUGAAAAUAGUUAGUUGAAGAAGAGUGUGAAGGUCUGUUAUUGGUUAAUCCUUGAAGGUCAAGUGAAGGAGAGAAAACCCAAUUCGGUUCUGUUAUGGGAAGAUGUAGAGUUUCGGUUAGGUGGUUGUUGAGGUUUGUUAGAAAGCUGUUGGAAAUUCUGUUAUCAGCUUUAUAUUUCUGUUAGAAAAUUAGUUACAAACUUCUGGUGUAAAGUUAACCGACUCUGGUGUGUGUUGUUUUCUCUUAUGCAGGAAGUUUGAAGCAGUGGUUAUUGAAGAAGGUCGGAGGGUUAUGAAAAUUUCGUAUGAUGUUGUUAUAGAAAAAAACGGAUUGGUUAUAGGGAGGUGGAAGUUAGUUCGUGGAAUGGAUGUUUUGGCAACGAAUCUCGUUUAGCCUCUCAAUUCUAUUCAUGUUCUUUAUUUGUUGUUGUUUCUGUUAUGUUUUUUGAUUUCUGCAAGUUAUGAGCUCGAAAGAGUGUGUUGCGAAACUCCGUAAGCUGGUUUUUAGUAGGAAUUGAAGUCACAUUUUAUUCAAGGUGAAGCUCUUUGGUUAGCAGGGUGGUGAUAUCAUCUUCCUUCAAAAUUAAACUAGCUAUCUGCUUUAGAGCUUUAUCUGCAUCAGUAAACACUUCAUCAUUGCCUAAUGAUGAUGACACGCUCUUCAUGUCUUGCGAUAGCAUCAGCGAUUUUAUUGUUAGCUUGUUAGGUAUUUUUGUGAUGAUAUCCAUUUUGUGCAGGUUGGUUAUAAUUCUAUAGGGGCUUUUUAUUGUAAUUUUGUAGUUAUUUUAAGUUGAAGUUGGACUAGGGAUUUAUGGUUCCUUGCAUUGGAAUUGGUUUGUCGCACAUGGACUCGGAUUUUGAGUUUGUUAGAGCUUGAAUUUGAUAUGAAUUGUCGUUGUAAAUUUUGUAACCAAAAUUCAAGUUGUGCUACAACAGGAAAUGAAUGUAAAUGUUAUGUACAUUAUUGGAUCA